This 253-nucleotide ribosomal RNA is filed under the name uncultured bacterium. RNAcentral's name for it is "partial 16S ribosomal RNA". It matches the Rfam family "Bacterial small subunit ribosomal RNA", at positions 524 to 776 of the family's 1533-position model. The record is from RNAcentral.
UACGUAGGGGGCAAGCGUUGUCCGGAUUUACUGGGCGUAAAGAGCGUGUAGGCGGCCAAGCAGGUCCGUUGUGAAAACUGGAGGCUUAACCUCCAGACGUCGACGGAAACCGCGUGGCUAGAGUCCGGAAGAGGAGAGUGGAAUUCCUGGUGUAGCGGUGAAAUGCGCAGAUAUCAGGAAGAACACCCGUGGCGAAGGCGGCUCUCUGGGACGGUACUGACGCUGAGACGCGAAAGCGUGGGGAGCGAACAGG